RNA transcript from Epinephelus fuscoguttatus (brown-marbled grouper), 5163 nucleotides. It is a transcript of the gene named zinc finger protein with KRAB and SCAN domains 8-like, with no coding region annotated. The record is from RefSeq and is a predicted model, not a curated record. The transcript is spliced from 4 exons. NCBI's taxonomy places the organism in Eukaryota, Metazoa, Chordata, Actinopteri, Perciformes, Serranidae.
AAGUCGCCCAUUUAAUUUACGUUGGUGAAUUAUGCGGCUCUCAAUUCCCCCAAAGUUAAUUUCUUAAUUUUAAAGUUAGUGUACCAAACUCCACAUUUACCGGCAACAUAAACCGGUUUUCCAUCAUGUCGGAGAUGCAACUGCUCAGACUGCUGGUCAACGAGCGACUGGCAGCGGCUGCCGAGGAAAUCUUAGGACUCGUUGAGAGGACGAUUGAGGAGUAUCAGGAUGAAGCUGUCCGCUCCAACAGAGAAGUCAUCCAGCUGAGACAGCAGAUCGAGCAGCUGACAGUUUUAAAACCUGAAGUAGUAUUAUUCAGAGCAGACACCCAGCUGGCCUCUGAGGGACUGCCUCCUUCACUGCAGCAACAUGACAAGAAGAUGGAAGAGACCCCCUCUCUGAAUGAAACAGAGUUUCAAAAGCACCCACAGGUCAAAGAGGAGCAGGUGGAUGAGUAUAUCAGUCCAGACGAUGAGGCUGAUACUUCUGAGGAUGCUGACCUCUGUAGAGAAAUCAACCAACUGAAACAGCAGAUCGAGCAGCUGACUGCUCUAAAAUGUGAAGGAACACUAUUCAGAGCAGACACCUGGGCAGUCUCUGAGGACAUCAUGCCUUCACAGCAGCCAAACCAGCUUCCCACUGUGGAGGAAAAAGAGACUUAUGAUUCUCAGCAAGUCAGAGAGGAGCAGGUGGAUCAGUGCAUCAGUCCAGACAUAGAGGCUGAUACUCCCAGUGUUACUGAAGUCAGAUAUCCUACAUCAGAACCAACCAUUAACUGUGAGCUGCUCCCAUCUUCCAUGGAUGUAACUGUGAGUUUAAACAAAAGCGCAGACAACAGCUGGAACCAAAGAGAAAUUUCACCAUGGCCUCCUCAGCAUCACAGUGUUGCACUUUUCAUUGGACUGGAGCAGCCUCCAAGGGGAGAAAGAUCUUGCCGUUUUUGUGGCAAACAUUUCACGAAGGACUCUUAUCUUAUAAGGCAUGUAGAUACGAGUCACAACGGGCACAAAGCCUUUAAAUGCCUGGAGUGCAACAAGGAGUUUGAACAAAGGUAUUACCUUGUUAUGCAUACAAGAAUUCACACGGGUGAAAAACCCUUUAGUUGUGAUUACUGUGACAGAACAUUCAGUCAGAACUCAAGUCGUCUUGUUCACAUGAGAAGGCACACUGGAGAGAAGCCAUACUUUUGUAACAAAUGUGGCAAAAGCUUUGCCCAAAGCAAUCAUCUCAGAAUCUGCAAAACAAGGAGUGAGUGCAACAUCACACCGGAAGAAAUGAAUAUAUCUGAGGAUCACAAAGACAGGAAUGCUUUUAAAUGCUCUGAAUGCAACAAGGAGUUUAAAAUGAGGCAACAGCUUGUUCUGCAUAUGAGAGUCCACACCGGGGAGAAACCCUACAGCUGUGACUUUUGUGGCAAAAGUUUCACUCAGAGCUCUAACUGUAUUGUUCACAUGAGAAAGCACACUGGAGAGAAGCCCUAUUUUUGUCAGAAAUGUGGGAGGAGUUACACUUACAGCCAGCACGAAAAAUACUGCAAGGGCACACAAAACGAAAGCACAAACAAAUCUGUUCGCUGCACAGCAUGUGGCAAAGACCUUCACACAGAGUCAAAUCUGAAGCUGCAUAUGGAGGUUCACAAGUCAUGGAGGCGACACAUCAUUGAGAAACGGCAAGGACAAGAGUAACAAGAGAAAAAACUUCAAGGUCAGUCAGUCUAUUUUUGAUAAAAUCUGCAGUCCAGUAUUAAGGAAUGACCUGCUCCAGCUACAGCCUCUCACAGACGCAAUAUAUUUGUUUAAACGUUGCUGAAUAAGAAACUAUUCACCAGUUUGUUUUGAUACAAUUCAAAGUUUUGGCUGUGUUAGUUAUGAUUUGACUGAUUAAUAUUGAGCAAAUGGUUUUUGUACCUUGGUGCUGGAGAUGCAAAUUAACCGUUCCAGAUGAUCUUCACUCCAUGCUUUGUUCAACCAAUUGCUGUUAACAUGUAACUGGUGUUCAGAUGGUUGUAACAUCACUGCAGUUACAUAUAACUGAGAUUGUGUCUUCAAAAGUUGCAUUUGGAUCUGUUUCAUUUUUUCAGCACAGAAAACAAAGUGAUUAUCAACAUCCAGGUUUAUUUCUUAAGUUGAUUUGACCUGGUAGAUACUAAAGUAUCCUUUAGAGCAGGGGUGUCAAACUCUCUGUAGUUCAUGGGCCACAUACAGCCCAAUUUUUUCCCUUUUUUGUGUUAAGAAUUACAAGUAGAUCCUGCAGACGUUCAUCCUUCUACAAAACAGAUGAACAGCCUGAGAUGUCUGAAGAAAAAUAAGUUUAAUUCAACAGUAUGUCUCAGUUUUUCCACAUUCAGUCAGUUUACUUCCCACUGUCAUUACAUGUGCAUUUAUCCACACAUUUCCUGAUACAGAUUCUUUUGAACUGAAGCUGCUGAUUGACAAUAUUUUGCACAUUGUUCAAUAUCUUUAAACAUGGUCACGGUGAGUAUUCAUUGUUAUAUCAAAGAACUGUAUCCUAGUCAGGGUGGAAAAGCUUCUGAAGCAGAAUUUUGCAUAAAUUAGGCAACACAUUGUUUAACUUGCUUUUGAAACCUGGCACCUCUAAGUCUAGUCAUCUAGUGGGCUACAUUGGACCCAUUGGUUGGCUGGUUCUGGUCCACAGGCCGUAUGUUUGACACCCCUGCUUUAGUGCCUCGCUUGUAUAACAAGUUCAAAGAUGUUCGACAUGAGCAAAUCAGUGUUUAAGGCAUUCAUCAGUUUUUCCUUGUCUUUAUCCAGCUUAGACUGAGCCAGGAAUUGUUGCUGUUGUGGUCCUAUAAGCCCAUUAAAGCAUCAGCUGUGUUACUGAGUUUCACAAAUAACCACAUCUUCACACAGUGCAAAUAAUAAACUUGCAGUGAGACCAAACUGUGUUCCUUUUGCGCUCAUUCAGUGUCUAACUUGUUCUGAGGGUUUUCAGUUUCAUAUUUUGCUCUUAAGAUAACAAUCAGCGAUUGUAAAGUGGACAAAAUAAAACGCACGAGUUAUUUUUCAUAGUUUGUUGAUAGUUAUUUGUUGUCCACUAGUGGCAGCCGUGAGUCCUCCACGCCGGCAGGGGGCGCUGUUGCAAAUUAAAUCUACGUGAUGACGUUGAACCGGACGCUCUAACUAGCGUCAAAUUUUCAGUUUAUGUGAACGAAUAAUGUGAAUUUUGGGUCCCCAAAGAGUUUAAUUCUUUAUUUUGAAGCGCCAAACUCCACAUUUAGCGGUAAUAUUAGCCGGUCUUCCAUCAUGUCGGGGACAAAGCUGCUCAGACUGCUGGUCAACGAGCGAUUGGCAGCGGCUGCCGAGGAAAUCUUUGGACUCGUUGAGAGGACGAUAGCGGAGUAUCAGGAUGAAGCUGUCCGCUUCAAGAGAGAAGUCAUCCAGCUGAGACAGCAGAUCGAGCAGCUGACCGUUUUAAAACCUGAAGUUAUAUUAUUCAGAGCAGACACUCAGUCAGCCUCAGAGAAGAUUUUGCCUUCACAACAGCCAGACCAGCUUCCCAAUGUGGAGGAGAGCGACACCCAUGAUGACUCCCAGCUGGUCAAACAGGAGCAGGUGGAUCAGUGCAUCAGUCAAGACAUGGAGGCUGAUACUUGCAAUGAUCCUGAAGUCAUAUAUCCCAUAUCAGAACCAACCACUGACUGUGAGCUGCUCCCAUCUUCCACGGCUGUGACUGUGAGUGAAAAUGAAAGCACAGAUGACAAAUGGAAUGAAAGAGAUGAUUUGUGGUCGCCUUGUCAGAAUCAGCAGGUGCAUCAUCACAUCACCCCAGACUUGACGGAUGAUUCUUCUGACGAUGUAAAAGUCAGAAUUACAAAAUCAGAAACAGCUGCUCAGUCUGAUUUCCACCUGAUGCCACCUGUCAGCAGUAUAACAGUGACAUUUACUGAUGAUGAAUGGAAUGGAAGUGACGUUGCCAUAACGGAGCAGCAGCGGGAGCAAAAGACUUGUCGUUUCUGUGGCAAGUUUUUUAACAGGGACUCUGAUCUGAUCAGACACGUUGAAAAGAUUCACAUGAGUACGAGGGCCUUUCAGUGCUCUGAAUGUGACAAAGAGUUUGCUUGUAGGAGCCAUCUGGAUGCGCAUGUAAGAAUUCACACAGGUGAAAAGCCACACAAGUGUUCUUUCUGUAGUAAAUCUUUCACUCAAAGGUCAAAUCUCAACGUCCACGUUCGGCUGCACACUGGUGAAAAGCCGUAUUUUUGCAAAGCGUGCGGCAAAAAGGUUGCCUAUAGCUCUCACCUCAAAACGUGCGGUAUGAAGGAGCUCAGAGGGAAGGACUCGUUUUGCUGUUUGGUUUGUGGUGAAGAGUUUCACACUGCUUCAAAACUGUGGGUCCACAAGAGGAUCCAUGAAGCCGGGAAACCCCACACUGUUUUCUCGCCUUUGGACUGAUCACCGGGCUGAAUUGACAUUUGUUUCCAGGGUAUCUGCAGAACCUUUUAAAAGUCUCAACAUUUCUUAAAUUCAGUUUUGUAAAUACUCGGCCCUAAAAGUUAUUAAAUGAUCUUAAAUUUGAAAUUCUGAGGUUUUUAUUGCUACAAACAUUUCAUCUGAUUUUAUCCAUCUUUUUUUUUUUUUGUCAAAAUAAAACAUCUGGAUCUGGGGAAUUUGGAGGUCGGAUUGAUGCGUUGAGCUCUUCGUCACGUUCUUUGGAGCAGUUUUGGCAGUGUAGCAUGGCGCAUUGUUCUGCUUGGGAGGCCACUGCCAUCAAAUGGUAUCCACAUGACUGCCAAGAACCAAAAGUUUCUCAGCAGAGCAUUGCAUUGUAGCAAGAUGAUCAGUGUUAUUCACUUCACCUGCCAGUGGUUUUGGUUAAAAGUUUGCUUGAAAAAGGUCAUUAAAGCAUUAGAUUUAAGUGUCCGAUACCUGAAGACACCCUGGUUUCACUUUAUUCAUUAUUUCUUAAUUUCUUAGUUAAUAUUUCUAAACAAGUUUUUAAAAAAUGAAGGUGCCGAAUCAGAGGUUUGGAGCAAAAAGACAAACAAUUACAGCCAUUUUAGAAAUUGCCUCUGUUUAAGACCUCAGCCUUUUCAGUCCACUUUUGUUGAGAUCUCUGAGCACUUCAAGCCUUACUGUUUUUAGUCCUGUUACUGCUCAUGUUUAUUUUGCACCUCUUUGUUAAUGAAAUAAACUAUUUUUCCUA